RNAcentral lists this long non-coding RNA (227 nucleotides) under Malus domestica (apple). RNAcentral's name for it is "long non-coding RNA (MDOM_LNC004821)". Lineage: Eukaryota; Viridiplantae; Streptophyta; Magnoliopsida; Rosales; Rosaceae. The record is from RNAcentral.
CUAGAAAGUCCUAAUGUGUGUUAACCUCUGUGCUCCGUGGUAAGGCAGACUGGCAAAAAUGCCCAACCUUUACUCACAUUUGAGAAAACACUCCCAACAAGAUUGCUUGCUCAAAAAUCGAAGAGGCACCACUCUCCGAAUCUCGAGAGUCAGACUCCCAACAGGAUUACUUUCUCAAAAAUCGAAGAGACACUACUAUUCGAAUCUCAAGAGUCAGAUUCCCAACA